UUACAGCCACAUCAUGUUGAAAAAAACAGUUUCUGUACGAUCACUGAAGUUAAGCAAAGUUGAGCCUGGUUAUUACCUAGACAGGUGACCACUUGGGAAUACCAGGUGCCAU
Non-coding RNA from Acanthosepion pharaonis, 112 nucleotides. The record is from the annotation of a GenBank genome assembly. Lineage: Eukaryota; Metazoa; Mollusca; Cephalopoda; Sepiida; Sepiidae.